Molecule: transfer RNA, 365 nt
Filed under: uncultured Microcystis sp.
Lineage: Bacteria; Bacillati; Cyanobacteriota; Cyanophyceae; Chroococcales; Microcystaceae
Description: partial 16S-23S ribosomal RNA intergenic spacer
Rfam family: tRNA (bases 136-209)
Source: RNAcentral
AAAGGGAGACCUAAUUCAGGUAGGAGACGAAAAAAAAGUAGUCCCUACCAAGAAUCAAUCCCAAAAGGUCGGAGCGAGGCGAAAUUGGCUUUCAAACUAGGUUCUGGGUUCAAACAAGACCUGAAUCAGGAACAAGGGCUAUUAGCUCAGGUGGUUAGAGCGCACCCCUGAUAAGGGUGAGGUCCCUGGUUCGAGUCCAGGAUGGCCCACCUGUACAGGUGGCAAAAAGAAAGAAAAGAAGCGAGGAAUCAGCACCUUAUCUUACUUAUAUAGUAAGAGAGAAUGCUGGCUCUGAGUUCAGAGUCCAGAGGAACCUUGAAAACUGCAUAGAGCUAGGUGAAAAAGCCAAAAAAGAAGACCGCAAG